Molecule: long non-coding RNA, 353 nt
Organism: Lacerta agilis (Sand lizard)
Lineage: Eukaryota; Metazoa; Chordata; Lepidosauria; Squamata; Lacertidae
Exons: 12
Source: RefSeq, a predicted model, not a curated record
UUUAUUUGUAUUUUUCUAGGAUGGCGGUGAAGGGACAGCUGAUGCAUGGUGGGAAGAGCUCAUCAACAGUGUAGAAAAUGAGUUUGGCGGCAAAAGACAAAGUUCUUCGAAGCAAUCAAGCCCAGGACUGCUUGGAGGAUUUUUGGGAGGCAGAAGAAAACAAAGUUCUUCAAAAGGAACACAAGGAUGGUGGAAUGAUUUUUGGGGAGGCACACCAUUUGGUUUGUUCGGCAGAAGGAAUACUGACGACUCCCCAAAUUGGAUGAAAAGAUUAAUGGAGAUGCCGAUGACUCUCUUAGAAAGAGUGAAAGAAGCAUUUUCUAGAAAGAAUUCUCAAAACGUGAGUACAAUGG